CUAGGAUCAGCAGUUUCUCCAAGGAACCCAUGUUCCUUUUAUUGGAAGUGGUAUUAGUAACCAAGAUCUUGGUGCUAGGUGAACUCAUUGCUACUGGAGUGUUGCUGCUUCUAGAACUUCUUAACUGACUGAGCAAGGAAGUAUUGAGACAUGAUGUGAAGUGGAAAACAGAGAGCCUCAGGAGCCUGGUGAUAAUGGAGCACAUGAGCCAUCAGCUUGUCUCUCCUGCUUUCUUCAGCAUCCUGUCUUUUGGGCUGUUACAAUCUGAUUCUAAACUUUAUGAUUUUGGCCUUUUUUGAGGAAUAAUAAAGCCCGGCCUUUGAGAACUG
Molecule: long non-coding RNA, 329 nt
Filed under: Equus caballus (horse)
Lineage: Eukaryota; Metazoa; Chordata; Mammalia; Perissodactyla; Equidae
Description: lncRNA (ENSECAG00000033537.3)
Source: RNAcentral